Gadus macrocephalus (Pacific cod) is the source of this 1046-nucleotide long non-coding RNA. RefSeq lists it as uncharacterized. The transcript is spliced from 2 exons. The record is from RefSeq and is a predicted model, not a curated record. Lineage: Eukaryota; Metazoa; Chordata; Actinopteri; Gadiformes; Gadidae.
GGUUCAUCAUCCGUUGACUACAGUACAGCCUGCGAAGAACCAAAAGAAGAACAAAUACAAAGGCAGUCAUGCUGGUAUAUUUAAUCGAUAAUUAUUUAUUAUCAAUAAACAUGUGAUUCACAAUUCAGCGUAAAACAUAUCUAAAAAGUAGGCUUUUCGAAAAGGUUGGGGAGACGAAUACACUUGAAACAAUAAAUAAAGCAGGAGCAGGGGAGAGUGUGUCUGGGGGCUGGGGGGGGGGGGACUUUAAAAAGGAUUUGUAGUUCCAUUCCAGGGAUUUAUACAUAUCAUACAACAUCUCUUCGAUAAGGGGUCGACUCAGGUAAAAUAGUGUCAUUCAUGCGUGUGGAGGGGAAAUGGUUUGAUGUCGAGAUAUUGGGAGCUUUAUACAACAAGGCUUUGAAUGACCGAUUUGUCUUCUUUGUUGUGCUGACAUCGAUGAAGAGUUCAGUGAAACCGAGGAUGCAGACAAUGAUUUCGAAAAAGGCAUUGUGUAUGGAUUAUUUGCGUGUGUUCCAACACCAUUUAAUUUCUCCCACAGAAGGGGGGUGAGACAGGGAAACAGAAAGAGAGGCAAGAGAAGAAAUUAAAGGAAAAUUUAGUCAAACGAACUAGAUUAUCGAUAACAAAUCGGAGGGUUACUUGCACGUUUUUCCUGCAAACCCUAAAGAACCCAAGACCACGUGCACGCUCUCAGCCCGUGCACGCUCCCACCACGCGGAUACAUGUAAACGCUUCGGUUGUGUAAUAGUCUUCGGAAUAACCCUCCGCUACCCAUCAAACAGCAUCGCAUAGAUCACGCCUCUAUAGGGUAGAAUGUAUGCGUGUGUGUGUGUGUGUGUGUGUGUGUGUGUGUGUGUGUGUGUGUGUGUGUUGCAGAUGUGUGGGUGAAGUGCAUGUGCAUAUUAACCAAGCUGUGCAUGUAGGAGUUGUUUGUUACCCCCUGAAAAAUGCUAUAAAAAAAAAAAAAAAAACCUAUCUUCAUCUCAUCCUCUCCAGCUCCUCUUCCUCCUCCCCGGGCUGGGGGGCCCACUGCCUUGCUCACU